CGUUGCGCAGCAUAUCAUUUGGAGGAAAUUUCGUCAUUGGAGGGGGAGGCGAGGGCUGGAACACAGCUGGAGGCUCGCUGUGCGCAUAGCAAACGAUAAAGUUUUCCAGGGACAGAAGUUAAGCUAACUGGCCUGUCAUUUCCGGGAUCCCCUCUGGAUCCAUCAACAUCUGGGGACCAAAGGUUGAAUAACAGUGGUCUACACGGACUGGCAGUGGAUCUCCAGGGAUUCAGCACCACUGACAUAUGGCCCUCAGAAGAUUGCCUGGAACUGCCUGCAGUCCUUGGGAUGAAAAAGGUUUCCCAGCCCUGCUCUAAAAUAGCAAGUCUUCACGCUUGUCUAAAUUCACUGCUUUUACCAGGAGGCUUCACCCCUACCUGUCGACAAAGGCGUGGUGCAGUAUGAAGAUGGGAUCGUUCGCUGAUCCCUGCACCUGGGACAUCGAGCCAUUCAUGUAGAUGUGUAAUGCGUUAUGCAGACUGCUUUGGGACACAUUUGAUAUUGCGGUGCUUGGAUUUGCAAAGCCUGUUGGGAGGAGAGGAAAUGGAGAGGUAAAUGACAAUCAUGCUGCAGUGUACAUAAGAGGGCAUUGCAGUGUCUGUAAUGUACUCUUCCCAUCUCAGAUCAGUGUCAGAUUUUGCUCCAUGUAUCCUCCCCCCAUUGUCUGAAAUCUUGUUUGCUAGGAUUGAUGGGAAUUGUAGAUCAGCAACAUCUGGAGUGACAAGGUUCCCCACACUUGUACUAGAAAGCUGUUGACAUUAAAUAAAGUUGU
Molecule: long non-coding RNA, 772 nt
Organism: Rhineura floridana
Lineage: Eukaryota; Metazoa; Chordata; Lepidosauria; Squamata; Rhineuridae
Exons: 3
Source: RefSeq, a predicted model, not a curated record